UUGAAUGUUUUAUUUUGUUCUGGAUCAAGAACCUCUAGCAAUGCUGAAGCUGGAUCUCCACGAACAUCAGAACCUGUCUUGUCCACUUCAUCAAGCAACAUAACAGGAUUGCAAACAGCUACUCUCUAUAUGUCAAAUUCCAUCUAUAAGUCGCCCAGGCAUGCUUCCAACAUAGGUUCUCCUAUGUCCUCUAAUAUCAGCUUCAUCCUUGACUCCACCAAGUGA
Molecule: long non-coding RNA, 225 nt
Filed under: Medicago truncatula (barrel medic)
Lineage: Eukaryota; Viridiplantae; Streptophyta; Magnoliopsida; Fabales; Fabaceae
Description: lncRNA gene25816
Source: RNAcentral